AACGGGUGAGUAACACGUGAGUAACCUGCCCUUAACUCUGGGAUAAGCCUGGGAAACUGGGUCUAAUACCGGAUAGGAGCGCCUACCGCAUGGUGGGUGUUGGAAAGAUUUAUCGGUUUUGGAUGGACUCGCGGCCUAUCAGCUUGUUGGUGAGGUAAUGGCUCACCAAGGCGACGACGGGUAGCCGGCCUGAGAGGGUGACCGGCCACACUGGGACUGAGACACGGCCCAGACUCCUACGGGAGGCAGCAGUGGGGAAUAUUGCACAAUGGGCGCAAGCCUGAUGCAGCGACGCCGCGUGAGGGAUGACGGCCUUCGGGUUGUAAACCUCUUUCAGUAGGGAAGAAGCGAAAGUGACGGUACCUGCAGAAGAAGCACCGGCUAACUACGUGCCAGCAGCCGCGGUAAUACGUAGGGUGCGAGCGUUAUCCGGAAUUAUUGGGCGUAAAGAGCUCGUAGGCGGUUUGUCGCGUCUGUCGUGAAAGUCCGGGGCUUAACCCCGGAUCUGCGGUGGGUACGGGCAGACUAGAGUGCAGUAGGGGAGACUGGAAUUCCUGGUGUAGCGGUGGAAUGCGCAGAUAUCAGGAGGAACACCGAUGGCGAAGGCAGGUCUCUGGGCUGUAACUGACGCUGAGGAGCGAAAGCAUGGGGAGCGAACAGGAUUAGAUACCCUGGUAGUCCAUGCCGUAAACGUUGGGCACUAGGUGUGGGGACCAUUCCACGGUUUCCGCGCCGCAGCUAACGCAUUAAGUGCCCCGCCUGGGGAGUACGGCCGCAAGGCUAAAACUCAAAGGAAUUGACGGGGGCCCGCACAAGCGGCGGAGCAUGCGGAUUAAUUCGAUGCAACGCGAAGAACCUUACCAAGGCUUGACAUGUUCUCGAUCGCCGUAGAGAUACGGUUUCCCCUUUGGGGCGGGUUCACAGGUGGUGCAUGGUUGUCGUCAGCUCGUGUCGUGAGAUGUUGGGUUAAGUCCCGCAACGAGCGCAACCCUCGUUCCAUGUUGCCAGCACGUCGUGGUGGGGACUCAUGGGAGACUGCCGGGGUCAACUCGGAGGAAGGUGAGGACGACGUCAAAUCAUCAUGCCCCUUAUGUCUUGGGCUUCACGCAUGCUACAAUGGCCGGUACAAUGGGUUGCGAUACUGUGAGGUGGAGCUAAUCCCAAAAAGCCGGUCUCAGUUUAG
RNAcentral lists this ribosomal RNA (1183 nucleotides) under Micrococcus sp. RNAcentral's name for it is "bacterial SSU rRNA". It matches the Rfam family "Bacterial small subunit ribosomal RNA", at positions 101 to 1296 of the family's 1533-position model. Lineage: Bacteria; Bacillati; Actinomycetota; Actinomycetes; Micrococcales; Micrococcaceae. The record is from RNAcentral.